RNAcentral lists this ribosomal RNA (331 nucleotides) under Duplicaria sp. NP3. RNAcentral's name for it is "partial 12S ribosomal RNA". Lineage: Eukaryota; Metazoa; Mollusca; Gastropoda; Neogastropoda; Terebridae. The record is from RNAcentral.
UUCUGGAUGUAAAUUGACCAGAGUACUAUGAAUAUGAAAAAUUUAAAACUCAAAGAACUUGGCGGUGUUUUAGACCACUUAGGGGAACCUGUCUCAUAAUCGAUAAUCCACGUUAUACCUGACCUUUUUUUGUUAUCAGUUUGUAUACCGUUGUCGUCAGGUAACUUUUUAGAAUUUAGAAGUUAGCAAUUAAGAAAAUAAUCCGUUACGUCAAAUCAAGGUGCAGCUAAUAGAAAGGGGAGGAUGGGUUACAAUUAUAAAUUAUAAUAACGGAAGGUGGACUUAAAAGUAAAUUAAACAUAAGCAAUUUGAAUAAGGCUCUGAAACGCGU